Molecule: unclassified non-coding RNA, 148 nt
Organism: Papio anubis (olive baboon)
Lineage: Eukaryota; Metazoa; Chordata; Mammalia; Primates; Cercopithecidae
Rfam family: Metazoan signal recognition particle RNA
About the family: The signal recognition particle (SRP) is a universally conserved ribonucleoprotein. It is involved in the co-translational targeting of proteins to membranes.
Source: Ensembl
GCCGGGCGUGGUGAUGGGCGCCUGUAAUCCCAGCUACUGGGGAGGCUGAGGCAGGAGAAUUGCUUGAACCCAGGAGAUGGAGGUUGCAGUGAGCCGAUACAGUGCCACUGUACUCCAGCCUGGGCAACAGAGUGAGACUCUGUCUCAA